UACGGAGGGUGCAAGCGUUGUCCGGAUUCAUUGGGUUUAAAGGGUGCGCAGGCGGGACAUUAAGUCAGGGGUGAAAGACGGUUGCUCAACAAUCGCAGUGCCUUUGAUACUGGUGUUCUUGGGUGACGGUGAGGUAGGCGGAAUGGGUGGUGUAGCGGUGAAAUGCAUAGAUACCACCCAGAACUCCGAUUGCGAAGGCAGCUCACUAAAUUGUAACUGACGCUGAGGCACGAAAGCGUGGGGAGCGAACAGG
This 253-nucleotide ribosomal RNA is filed under the name uncultured bacterium. RNAcentral describes it as "partial 16S ribosomal RNA". It matches the Rfam family "Bacterial small subunit ribosomal RNA", at positions 524 to 776 of the family's 1533-position model. The record is from RNAcentral.